RNAcentral lists this long non-coding RNA (5025 nucleotides) under Homalodisca vitripennis (glassy-winged sharpshooter). RNAcentral describes it as "uncharacterized LOC124366478, transcript variant X1". The record is from RNAcentral. Lineage: Eukaryota; Metazoa; Arthropoda; Insecta; Hemiptera; Cicadellidae.
GUCUGUUAAAUUAUACUCAUUUAAAGAUUGUCUUACAACGAUGUUAUGUGUGAUUACUGUUUGUUAAAGGAAAGCAUGCCAUAUAUUUUAAUUUUAAUUAUGACUAUCAAACUAAGCCAAUUCAAAAUUUUACUUUACAUGUCUCAAAAUCUAAAGUUAUCUUUUAAAAACUUCUUCAAAACUCUUUGUGUUUACAUCCUACAAUAUAUCCUAAAGUACAAAAAGUGUUUUAGUUGAUUUUGAGAGAUGCUCCGUCUUUGGAGGUGCCCUUCAUUUUGAAUGACUCUGCCUAAGUUUAUUUUUGACUUAAAAACUUAACCGACAGCCUUUUUUUAUUAACCAUCUGUAGGUUGUUUUAACACAUAUUUAGAUGGUUUAUAUGAGAAGAUUACUUAUAUUUCGUUCCUACUUAAAGACUUUUCUAAAAGUAUUGGUAUUGAAAGCAAAAUGACAAGUCACCUUUAAACCAAAUCGUGCAGAGGCUGCACACAACCUUUUGCAUUGACAACACAACAUAAAAUUAAAGCAAACGAUAGCUCUAAAAGAUUCGCUUUCAUCAGAUAAGAAAUAUACCUCAAUAUAAUAUCAACAAUGAAGUCUUGCCUGCUUUACUAGUGUUAGCUCGCUGCUUCUAGUAGACUAUAUUCGACAAGAUAAUGGUGAACCUAAUUGAAUGUGUAGUCUUUCUUGUCAGUGUCACAGUGGACGUUGAAGGUGUAGACUUCGACUUCCAAGGAUUCUAUCAGGCAGAUACCCGGUUUACCCCGGAUAACGAGACCGACCACUUGGGAAUAAUGGAAAAUCUUAACAAGAACGUGCGAAGAAUGUUGGCGGCUCUUGAACGACAAACUAUGGCCGAAAUGAACAAACUGGCCCUCGAAGCGAUCACUCUUGGGCAGAACGUGCUUCACUCUGCAGAACUCCAGUUUAGGAAAUACGCCCAACCUGAAAGGUUCACUCAAUAUAUGGACUCUAAAAAUGUGGAAAGGUUCAUGGAAGCACAUAGAGAUACAAGAUACUGUUUAGAAAAAAUAGAUUCUAUUUUUGAAAAACUUCCAGGAGUAUUAAUGUAAGAUAGUUUAUUGCGUGUUAGGUCAUAAUAAUUUUGAUAACAACUAUUUUUAUAAAUCCAAUUAAAACAGUUAAAAUCUAAAGAUUUUAAAAAUUUAUUAUUUAUAAGAUAGUUUUUCGCGAGGAGGAAAUUUAUCUCCCUUCAUACACACAAAACUUGUGCUUUCAAGUGUGAAAGACAAGCAAUUUCUUAAAGGAUUGAAACCUAUAAAAGGAUAACUAUCUGAAUAAAGAAUCUCAUUGAAACCAAAUUUAAAUUGUGUCAUCGUUAUGUUCUUGUGUAAGUAAUUGGUGGACGAAGAAAUAUGGGGAUUUUGCAUACAAAAUCUACUUUAAUGAACCCAAGAUCGAAGGGGCUUGUAAAAAUUAAAACAAUUUUGGGAAACUGUUUUUAGACAAUAUUUUAUCUUGGUGGGGUAAUUGGCCGCGUUAUCUUUUUCUAAAGGUGGCAAUCCUAGGCCAAUGCGGAGUAUCAAGUGCCGGACGUCCGGUUUGUAAAAAUCCACUGUGAUUUUGUGGUGUUGUUUUGACGGCAUGUCACUGGAAGAGUGGAAGGUGGGUGUAAUUAUACGAUUAUCACUUACAUUGUUAUCAAGACACUUCACGUGUUUCAACAAAACGUUUAAAUAGAGAUGAAUGCUGAAUAAUUUAAAUCCCAUUGCUUGAAAAUGCGUUCCAGCAACGCUCAUUAUUGGGAAGAACUGAAGAGGAAAUACUACAUAAACUUGUAAAACCGUCUCCUGGCGAAGGGAGGAUCUUGAUCUCGCUGCUGAAGAAGUAUACAACGGUAUUGGAGGAGCUACUGGGAGCAUACAAGAGGAGUACCGGUUCUCACGUACUUGUCUCACGUAUUGUCCAAAAAUUGUAUAACAGAAGCGGUCCUCGUUUUAUUCAUGUACAAGUUGACUUGGAAAAUUUGAGGAAAAUCCAUUGGUGGUCUCAACAUGAAUUAAACUUUGUUAAGGAGUCUAUAGAAAACACUACACAAGUAUGGAUGGCUUUUAAAUCAUAUUUUGAGAAAAAUGGAAACAGGACAUCUUCAUGGUAAUAAUCCCCUCCCCACACAAUUACGUGUCAUAGUGUCCAACUUCGGUUUAGAUAGUUACUGACCUCCUUAUUGUCAUUAGUAAAGUAUUUAUUUACCCAUAUUGGAAAAGUGAAUGUACAAAAUAAAGACUAAACAAUAAUAAAUAAGUGAAAAUGUAAACAAUGUAAUCAAUUAAAGGUGUGAUUUCGACUUUUCAGCUACUUUAGUUUUCAUUUGUUCUAAAUUUUGUAAUGUUACAUCAUUUAAAUUUAUCUUAAGUUUUAAAGUAAAGUAGUACACACUUGACACAGUUAAACACAUUUAAAAUGAAGAUAUAUUAAUAUAUUAAGAAAAUAAUGGAAACUAUUUCAUUAUGUAUCCUGAAAUGUUUAUUGUGGAAGAAUAAAAAUAUGAGAAAUUUCAGUUUUAAUUUUGGUUUCAUUUUUAUAUAUUUUAAUAUAAUUUCCAACGGUGUUGUAGCAAGACAUUACAUUACGCGAUAUAAACUAAUCGUUCCGAUGUUGGUCUGAACAGAUAACAUUAUUAAUGAUCAAAGUGAACGUAUUUAAAAGGUAAUAUAAAUGUACAGUAUGUAUCUGUAUUAAUAGAUAUUUCUCAUUCAUACUUCAAACAUGGUCGUCGUACCAGGAACCCUACAGUCAUCCAAUUGUAAAUUUAUUCUUUCGCUAAUAAAUUUGAAAGUACCAACAUAUUUUUUAUAAGUAAAAGGUAUAAAAUAGUUAAAUAAAUUUUGCAAAAAUGUUUCUCUCAACCUGUAUACUUGCUGUGACCAAAUUGUUAGAGAGGGAAUUAGGCAUUUCAAAUAAUAAUCUAAAAGUUUUAUAAAUAUAUCUUGUGAUUGAAAUGAGUUAAAAAUGUAUAUUUAAAAAAGUAAUUUUUAUUAUACAUAUUACAUACAUGUAUGCUUUAGUGUAAAAUACUCGAAAUGAUUCCAAGAAAUAUUCUAAUAUCCAGCUAUACAAUAUUUCCCUCUCAUACAAAGUACAAUUCCUGUAAUGCAAAUUGUUUUAUGUAGUUUUAAAUAGGACUUUCCUAACUAUAAGAAUAAAAAUGUCAAUUUUGUAAUAAAUCAAAUGCAUGUACGCUCUUUAAUAUAAAAAAAUACUUGUGUUUGAUAGAUUUGGAGCUUCGAUUUGUGAUAUCACCACAUAAACACAUAUUAGACACAUCCUUAUGAAUAAUGUGAAGCAUGGAAUGAUAAAGAACAUUUUGGAGAGUUAAAGAGCAUAUAGAACACAUUAGAUUAAAAAUGUAUGUGAACAUAAGAAUUACAAGUCUUGAGUUUUAAAAAUUACUAAAGAUAUUUAGUAACUUAUUAUUAAUUGUUGUAGUGAGAGCUACAAACAUUAUAAUAGGCUAAGCGUUACCGAAACCUGACACUCAAGGGGCUGGAAAAUCUUCAUUUCUGUUUGUAUGUUUGUCUUUCUGUCCAUACAAUAUCUCUAAAACAAACUGACCUAAGGUAAUGUAUAAUUAAUGCAAACAUUCAAAAAUAGCCUGGCAUUUUUCGUAAUAAUACGUAACUGGUUGAGCGCACCAAAUUUCAUUAAUAAAAACUAUAUUUUAUUUCACAAAAUAUACCAAACAUAUCAAUAGAUAAUUAUAAAGACUACAGGAUUUUCUUUAAAUCCGAUAUCAUAUUGUUACACUUUUCCAACAAGUAAUUAAAUUGUGAUCUCUGUUCGUCGUUAAAUUUGAAGCUUUCACAGAGUAUCUGGUUACUUAUUGCUAUCCUUUGAACUAAUACCGCUAAGUCCGAUAGUGUGACCUUCAGGUCGUCUUCCAGUUCAACGUCAAGUCCUCUUUGUAUCUGUAACAACACGGUUGAUCUGAAGUCACUCAAAGACCUGUGAAGUGAUUUCAUUUCGUACAUCAGUGUUGUGUUUGGAUUAAAUGUCUCUCUCAGGAUUUUUCUAGCCUCUUUCUCGUGAUUUGUAUUGAGUUCAUUAAAACCCAACUCGUCUAAAACAUUUCCCGUAGUUUUAUCACUUCCACUAUAUUCAAGUAGUAUAGUGUACAUGAAUACAUAUAUAUUUAAACAUACCAUUCUUUAAUACAAUGAUUACUAAAAAGUUCUGCAUAUCUGUUAAAAUUCACAGAGUGUUUAAGGUUUACUGAUGGAUAAGUAAACACUGUUAAGUUCUGGGCCCAAAACAACUCAUAAUUGAUGUUACAUUAUUAUGAGUCAGUAACUAAAAUACUUUCUAAUUUACUUUUUAGUUUUAACUCAAAGACCUACGCAAAUUCUUUGAACGCACUGUUCAUGACGAUAUAUCUAGUUAAGUUCGUAUUAACAGACCUAGGCUAUCAACUUGAAUAAAUUAUUUUUACAAACUGUUUAAGCAAUUGCAACACAUAAAAAAAAACAAUGGUGUGAGUUGCUCGAAUUUUGAAACUCUCAGUUCUAGACUUUACGUAAUAUGGGUACUGCAACAUGACGUUAUAUAAUUAUGUGAUUAGUAUCAAACUGCCAAACAAUAAAUAUUUUUGUCUGAGCUAUAUUGUUCUUUUAAUUUUUCUCUGAUACGCACAAAGAAUACUUCUGAAAUUCACAUUUUGAUAACAAAAACACGUGGUACAUACAGUCAAUUCAUUACGCUGUGGAGGAUGUCAUGGAGGAGUGGCAAAGUUUGACAAUAAUUAUAAAUUGCGAGAGCCUUCUCCCAACUUUUGGAAGAUCUCAGCUAAGUUAAGACUGAAAACAUACAAUGUAGUUGUGCUGAAGCCUUGACCUCCAUUCCCUGGCACAAAAGUUAUUUAAUACUAUUCCAAGUUAUAAUUUAAUCAAACAUUUUGAUGAAAGUUUUGGUUAAUGUCCAUGGCUAACUAAAAUGACCAGUCUGUUAUGUUUAAAAUUGUAUUGGCUCUGGAACUUCCCCUCCAAAUUAAAAAGCUUACGAGAUCAA